RNAcentral lists this long non-coding RNA (212 nucleotides) under Anser brachyrhynchus (Pink-footed goose). Its description in RNAcentral is "lncRNA (ENSABRG00000007903.1)". Lineage: Eukaryota; Metazoa; Chordata; Aves; Anseriformes; Anatidae. The record is from RNAcentral.
GACACAUCAGAGGAGUGUAUUAUUUGGAGGCUGUUAAGGAAUAUAUUUAAGUUUCACCUUUAAGCAGGCAGAUGGAUUUAGCACUGUUCCAGGACAGGGCACUUCUGGUGGCUCUCUGGGGUGAGGAGGAGGGAAAGCAGAAGGAAACAAAGGUGCUGAAAGCCCGUCUCACACAGCAGGCAGACAGAGUUCAGCAUUUCCUACUGCUCUAA